This is a non-coding RNA of Perkinsus marinus ATCC 50983, 80 nucleotides long. The record is from Rfam. Lineage: Eukaryota; Perkinsozoa; Perkinsida; Perkinsidae.
GACAGUUUGGCCGAGUGGUCCAAGGCGCUAGCUUUAAGCGUCAGUCCGAAAGGGUGUGGGUUCGAACCCCACAGCUGUCA